Molecule: long non-coding RNA, 802 nt
Organism: Lepisosteus oculatus (spotted gar)
Lineage: Eukaryota; Metazoa; Chordata; Actinopteri; Semionotiformes; Lepisosteidae
Source: RefSeq, a predicted model, not a curated record
UUCUGCUCACAGCCAAAGCAAUUUCCUGGCAAGCGCAGCGCUGUCAGCUCUCUGAUGCCUGCUUGUGAAAUAUAGUGGCUGGGAGCGGGCCAUCGGCAGCCGGUGUCAGCCUGAUGGAUGGAGCCCGAGAGGAAGCACAGCACCCGCCAUUAAGGCAGCUCCAUCAGCCACUUGAAGGAGAUCCCAGGGUCUAAUAGAGAACAUGUAGACAAACCCUAUGCGUGAAUUUUACACUGGCUUUUUAACCAGCUUUUAACAAGCCAGAGGGGUAACAUCCUGUCCAUGAGAACAUUAUGGAACAUCACCCCUUGGAUGAGUUGACCCAAGUGCUUGGAGCAAGAACGGAUUGGUGGAGGGUUGCACAGAAGAGAAUGCUGUGCUUCCUCAAAGCACGUGGAAGAUGAAAACGAAUCGACUACACAUCAUAAGUAACUUCUUCAAGUCAUUUCCAGACCAUUUAUAAAAAUCAGAAAGGGCAUUGGUCCUGCAGAUCUCUGUGGUACCCCACUAACUACUGUACAUUUCCCUAAUACAAGCAUUCAGCCCUUAUCUGUAUCCUCUCUUUUCCUUUUCAUUAACCUAUUUUUAAUCUACAGUACCUACAUGUUUUUCUUUGAAUGACUACCAUUUGCAAUUUGAGAAUUUGCAGUCUCUCUUUUUUAUUGGUAGGGGCUACAUUAGCAAUUUUCCAAUCAAUGGAUAUUAUCUCUGUCUUGAGACUACUGCUUUUUGUUAAUGGCCUGUGAAUAAUCUUUUUUCCUUAAGGAGCACUGAAAGAAUACCACUGGACCCUGAAGAUCUA